Molecule: long non-coding RNA, 1230 nt
Organism: Xenopus laevis (African clawed frog)
Lineage: Eukaryota; Metazoa; Chordata; Amphibia; Anura; Pipidae
Exons: 2
Source: RefSeq, a predicted model, not a curated record
CUAGGGGAGGCUAAGCCUCCCCAAACCUGCCUGGCACCUAACUAAAACGAACUCUCUCCGUUUCUGACUGCUGGUUUACACCUUUAACAUUGUGGAAACCGGUUCUCUGAGCUGCACACUGAUUGGAACUUAUUCCUCAUGGUUUCCCCAAUCAGAAUGCACCUCUCUUGACUGACAGUAGAACUAGCCAAUCAGGUCACAGAUAAAGGAGGGGGUGGGGGUGAGAUUCGGAUCGUCGGAAGGCACUGCAGAAAGGACUAGAAGGAACCUCACCAGAGGUGUAACUAAUUUGCUGCAGAUUUCAACUUACUGCUCCCACAGGAGCCAUAUACCGAGAGAGGGAGAUGGAAGAGUAACUUCAAUAUUUCAGAAACAGCGCCAUUGGAUUAGAAUUAGAAAGUUUCUGAUUUUAGUAUGAUGAAACUUGUAUUACAUUUUUCAUUUUCACAAUCCCAUUUUAAUAAAAAAAAAAUCAGAGGCUGGAGGCAUAGGCAAAAAGAAACACUGCAGACUGAACCCCCUAUGUUCAAAUGCCCUAGGCAGGUCCUAGUUCGCAGCCUGCACUUCGUUUUCUAUAACUGCAAACAAAAUCCAUUACUCACCUGCAGCUGCCUGUUCUGUCAGGUUGCUUUCAUGUUCUUCUUUUGCACAGAGAGAGCUAUUCUGUGCUGCUGGCUGUUUAUUUGAAGAGGCCGUUGCUUCAGGCUGUGAAUUGGGUUGUGUAAGGUCAUCCGGUGGAGGAACAGGAAAGACGACUGGCUUGGAUGAGCUGGAUUCCUUAUUUAUCAAAAGUACCUGAAUUGGACCUGAAUUACUCUUUAAACUAAUCUGGUAUUUCUUUUGUCCAUUUUGACCCUAAAGGAAAAAACAAAGGCCCACAAAAGCAUUGGUACAUUGUAUAUGCUUUAUGCAAGGAAUGUAAAUUCAUGAUAUUAAACACAGCAACUCUCUCCACAUCUUAACAAUAAACAACUAAUAUUAAUGGACCUCAGACGAUCAGAAGUAUCCAAGCUAAGCAAAUAUAUUUUUAUACCAUUUCGGGAAUUGGAACUUCCAGUUGAGUGCCAGAUGGAGCCUGGAUAGCAAGGAGAGUGUCUCCUAGAAUAUGAAGGGGGAGAAAAAAAAAAAAAGAAAAAGUGUAUGAACAUUUUUUUUGUCUGUUAUAUGCACCUUUACUACUUAGUCUGGACAAAAUAAAAUAAGAGAGGUUGAAAGCACCUACCAUUAAAG